UAAGGAAUAUUGGUCAAUGGACGGAAGUCUGAACCAGCCAUGCCGCGUGGAGGAUGACGGCCCUCUGGGUUGUAAACUUCUUUUAUAGGGGGCGAAAAAAGGGUUUUCUAACUCGUCUGACGGUACCCUAUGAAUAAGCACCGGCUAACUCCGUGCCAGCAGCCGCGGUAAUACGGAGGGUGCAAGCGUUAUCCGGAUUUACUGGGUUUAAAGGGAGCGCAGGCGGAUUGGUAAGUCAGUGGUGAAAUAC
RNAcentral lists this ribosomal RNA (250 nucleotides) under uncultured bacterium. RNAcentral describes it as "partial 16S ribosomal RNA". It matches the Rfam family "Bacterial small subunit ribosomal RNA", at positions 355 to 602 of the family's 1533-position model. The record is from RNAcentral.